Molecule: ribosomal RNA, 132 nt
Filed under: Tupaia belangeri (northern tree shrew)
Lineage: Eukaryota; Metazoa; Chordata; Mammalia; Scandentia; Tupaiidae
Source: RNAcentral
GUCUACCACCUUACCACCCUGAACCACUGAAACUCAUCUAAUCUCAGAAUUUAAGGAGGGUUGGGCUAGUUAGUACUUAGAUGUGAAAGAUAUUAUGAAUUACUUCAGGAGAAGAACUGGGUGUUAUCAAAU